This 505-nucleotide ribosomal RNA is filed under the name uncultured bacterium. Its description in RNAcentral is "bacterial SSU rRNA". It matches the Rfam family "Bacterial small subunit ribosomal RNA", at positions 24 to 518 of the family's 1533-position model. The record is from RNAcentral.
UCAGGAUGAACGCUAGCUACAGGCUUAACACAUGCAAGUCGAGGGGCAGCAUGGUAUUAGCUUGCUAAUACCGAUGGCGACCGGCGGAUGGGUGCGUAACGCGUAUCCAACCUGCCUAGUGUCCCGGGCAUAGCCCGUGGAAACGCGGAUUAACUCCCGAUGGUGCAGACGUGCCGCAUGGCGUGUCUGCCAAAUGCGAAGGACACAGAUGGGGAUGCGUACCAUUAGGUAGUCGGCGGGGUAACGGCCCACCGAGCCGUCGAUGGUUAGGGGUUCUGAGAGGAAGGUCCCCCACACUGGUACUGAGACACGGACCAGACUCCUACGGGAGGCAGCAGUGAGGAAUAUUGGUCAAUGGCCGAGAGGCUGAACCAGCCAAGUAGCGUGCAAGGAUGACGGCCCUACGGGUUGUAAACUGCUUUUAUGCGGGGAUAAAGAUUCGCACGUGUGCGAAGUUGCAGGUACCGCAUGAAUAAGGACCGGCUAAUUCCGUGCCAGCCGCUGC